RNAcentral lists this ribosomal RNA (478 nucleotides) under uncultured bacterium. Its description in RNAcentral is "partial 16S ribosomal RNA". It matches the Rfam family "Bacterial small subunit ribosomal RNA", at positions 28 to 507 of the family's 1533-position model. The record is from RNAcentral.
GAUGAACGCUGGCGGCGUGCCUAACACAUGCAAGUCGAACGGAGUCCAGCCUUAGAGACCUUCGGGUCAAAGAGGGGAAGACUGAGUGGCGGACGGGUGAGUAACACGUGGGCAACCUGGCUCAUAGAGGGGGAUAACAGAGAGAAAUUUCUGCUAAUACCGCAUAAGCACACACUGCCGCAUGGCAGAGUGUGAAAAGAGAAUCGCUAUGAGAUGGACCCGCGUCUGAUUAGCCAGUUGGCAGGGUAAGAGCCUACCAAAGCGACGAUCAGUAGCCGAUUUGAGAGGAUGAACGGCUACAUUGGGACUGAGACACGGCCCAAACUCCUACGGGAGGCAGCAGUGGGGGAUAUUGCACAAUGGGGGGAACCCUGAUGCAGCGACGCCGCGUGAGUGAAGAAGUAUUUCGGUAUGUAAAGCUCUAUCAGCAGGGAAGAUAAUGACAGUACCUGAAUAAGAAGCCCCGGCUAACUACGUG